AUGAACGCUGGCGGCGUGCCUAAUACAUGCAAGUCGAGCGAACGGACGAGAAGCUUGCUUCUCUGAUGUUAGCGGCGGACGGGUGAGUAACACGUGGAUAACCUACCUAUAAGACUGGGAUAACUUCGGGAAACCGGAGCUAAUACCGGAUAAUAUUUUGAACCGCAUGGUUCAAAAGUGAAAGACGGUCUUGCUGUCACUUAUAGAUGGAUCCGCGCUGCAUUAGCUAGUUGGUAAGGUAACGGCUUACCAAGGCAACGAUGCAUAGCCGACCUGAGAGGGUGAUCGGCCGCACUGGAACUGAGACACGGUCCAGACUCCUACGGGAGGCAGCAGUAGGGAAUCUUCCGCAAUGGGCGAAAGCCUGACGGAGCAACGCCGCGUGAGUGAUGAAGGUCUUCGGAUCGUAAAACUCUGUUAUUAGGGAAGAACAUAUGUGUAAGUAACUGUGCACAUCUUGACGGUACCUAAUCAGAAAGCCACGGCUAACUACGUG
Molecule: ribosomal RNA, 496 nt
Filed under: uncultured bacterium
Lineage: Bacteria
Description: partial 16S ribosomal RNA
Rfam family: Bacterial small subunit ribosomal RNA
Source: RNAcentral